AGAGAGUCCAAUGCAGUGGACCUGGACCUGUUAAAGCACACUCGCAGAUGCAACAUGGCGUAUGUCAGGAUAAUUUAUUGCUUUCACGUGAAAAGGAUGGUGAGCAUGACAAUAGAAAUCAAUUACUUAUUCAACAAAAUUCAUUGCCGGCACAAGACCCUGUUAGUGGUUCUAUGCCAGAGGUGAGGGAAACGAGAGAUCAUAUUUAUGAAUCUUUUGCAAGAUUAGACCAGCGGGGGACCAGAAAUAAGCGUGGAAGCUCAGUACCCUCAAAACCCUCAAAAAGACGGCAUACUUCUUCACUCAAGAUAAAUAU
Lolium perenne is the source of this 316-nucleotide long non-coding RNA. RefSeq lists it as uncharacterized. The record is from RefSeq and is a predicted model, not a curated record. NCBI's taxonomy places the organism in Eukaryota, Viridiplantae, Streptophyta, Magnoliopsida, Poales, Poaceae.